RNAcentral lists this ribosomal RNA (1356 nucleotides) under Agnetina aequalis. Its description in RNAcentral is "16S ribosomal RNA". The stretch from base 892 to 1285 matches the Rfam family "Bacterial large subunit ribosomal RNA", at positions 2049 to 2651 of the family's 2925-position model. The record is from RNAcentral. Lineage: Eukaryota; Metazoa; Arthropoda; Insecta; Plecoptera; Perlidae.
AAAAUAUAAGUUAACUGAAUUAUAGAAUUAAGGGAUUAAGUUUGGAGUGAUUUUAAUAAAAAUAUUUUUAGUUAUAUGACUGUUAGUGAGUAUUGUAAAAAGAAAAAAUUAGUUGAGUUAUAGAUGUUUAUGUACUGUGAAGGACUAUGUGAAAUAAAAUAAAAUUUUAUUUUAAUAAAAGUAGAUUUUGUUAAUCGUACCUUGUGUAUCAGGGUUAAUCAAAAAUAUUCUAUGGAUAUUGGAUUUUCCCGAUUUGAAGAGAGCUAAUUUAAUUUGUUGGUUAAUGUGGAAUAAUUAUCAAUGAGGUUAAAUUAGAAAUUAAACGUUAUUCGUUCUUCAAGAUAUCUGGUUUCUUAAGAAAUGAAUUUAAUUCAGUUAUUUAAUUUUAUGGGGAAAUUUAUAGUUUUAAACUGUAUGAUUAAAUAAAAAUAGGUUGGGGGAUAAGCUUCGGCCUAGGAUCCAAAAUUUAUAUAUAGACAAUAAAGAUUAUUUAGGCUUAGAAGUAGCUAUAAUUUGGAAAGUGUUAUAACUUAAUUUUGUUGUAAUGAAAUUUUUAAUGAUUUGGGAUGAUGAGUUUAUUAAGAUUUUAUCUAGAAUAGUAAAGGAUGAGAAAUAAUGAUUAAAUUAGUAUAAAUAGUAGAUUGUUUAGAUAAACUAUAGUAAGAUUAGUUUACAGUAAGGAACUAGGCAAAUAAAUGCUCGCCUGUUUAACAAAAACAUGGCUUCUUGAAAAUAAUUUGAGGUCUGACCUGCCCACUGAUAAAAUUAAAGGGCCGCGGUAUUUUGACCGUGCAAAGGUAGCAUAAUCAUUAGUCUUUUAAUUGGAGGCUGGAAUGAAUGGUUGGACGAGGUAUUGACUGUCUCAUUGUGAAUGGUGUUAGAAUUUAACUUUUGAGUGAAAAGGCUUAAAUAAAUUUAAAGGACGAGAAGACCCUAUAGAUCUUUAUAUUAAUUAAUAAGUAAUAAUUUAGUUGGAUUUUUUUGCUAGAAUGAUUAAUAUUUUAUUGGGGUGAUAGGAAGAUAUAAAAAACUCUUUUGAAUAUAGAUACAAUGAUUUUUGAAUAUUUGAUCCGUUAAUAACGAUUUUAAGAUUAAGUUACCUUAGGGAUAACAGCGUAAUCUUUUUUGAGAGUUCUUAUCGACAAAAAGGGUUGCGACCUCGAUGUUGGAUUAAGGUAAAAGUUGGAUGCAGAAGUUCAAGUUUUUAGGUCUGUUCGACCUUUAAAUCCUUACAUGAUCUGAGUUCAGACCGGCGUAAGCCAGGUCGGUUUCUAUCCUUAAAUCGAAAAUGAAUAUUUUAGUACGAAAGGACCAAAUAUUGAAAUUAUUUUUUAUUAUGAGAUUAAUAAUAAUACG